GGGCGCGUAAUCUAUCGGUAGGAUACAACCUUCACACGGUUGAGAGCUAGGUUCAACUCCUGGCGCGCCCA
RNAcentral lists this transfer RNA (71 nucleotides) under archaeon. Its description in RNAcentral is "tRNA-Val". It matches the Rfam family "tRNA". Rfam says of the family: Transfer RNA (tRNA) molecules are approximately 80 nucleotides in length. Their secondary structure includes four short double-helical elements and three loops (D, anti-codon, and T loops). The record is from RNAcentral.